CAUGUCGGGUGUCUUAGCAUGCAAGUCGAGCGGCAAGCGCAGCAAUGCGCCUAGAGCGGCGGACUGGUGAGUAACGCGUGGGUGAUCUACCUCGGGGUUGGGGAUAGCCAUUAGAAAUAGUGGGUAAUACCGAAUACGCUUCCAUGAUUACGGUUGUGGAAGGAAAGGCGCUACGGCGUCGACCUGAGAUGAGCCUGCGUCCCAUUAGCUAGUUGGCGGGGUAAUGGCCCACCAAGGCGAUGAUGGGUAGCCGGCCUGAGAGGGUGUACGGCCACACUGGGACUGAGAUACGGCCCAGACUCCUACGGGAGGCAGCAGCUAAGAAUAUUCCGCAAUGGACGAAAGUCUGACGGAGCGACGCCGCGUGGAUGAUGAAGGCCGGAAGGUUGUAAAAUCCUUUUGUCGGGGAAGAAUAAGCGUGGGAGGGAAUGCCCGCGUGAUGACAUGAACCGGCGAAUAAGCCCCGGCUAACUACGUGCCAGCAGCCGCGGUAACACGUAGGGGGCGAGCGUUGUUCGGAAUUACUGGGCGUAAAGGGCAUGUAGGCGGUUUUGUAAGCCUGACGUGAAAGGCUAUGGCUCAACCAUGGCACUGCGUUGGGAACUGCGAGACUUGAAUCACGGAGGGGGAACUGGAAUUCCAGGUGUAGGGGUGAAAUCUGUAGAUAUCUGGAAGAACACCAGUGGCGAAGGCGAGUUCCUGGCCGAUGAUUGACGCUGAGGUGCGAAAGUGUGGGGAUCAAACAGGAUUAGAGACCCUGGUAGUCCACACUGUCAACGAUGUGCACUAGGUGCUGGGGCGGACGCUUCAGUGCCGGAGC
This 820-nucleotide ribosomal RNA is filed under the name uncultured Spirochaetota bacterium. Its description in RNAcentral is "bacterial SSU rRNA". It matches the Rfam family "Bacterial small subunit ribosomal RNA", at positions 36 to 852 of the family's 1533-position model. The record is from RNAcentral. Lineage: Bacteria; Pseudomonadati; Spirochaetota.